UGGAGGCAGCAGUAAGGAAUCUUGCACAAUGGGGGAAGCCCUGAUGCAGCGACGCCGCGUGAGCGAUGAAGCCCUUCGGGGUGUUAAGCUCUUUCGGCGGGAACGAAUAAUGACGGUACCCGCAGAAGAAGCUGCGGCUAACUACGUGCCAGCAGCCGCGGUAAUACGUAGGCAGCAAGCGUUGUUCGGAGUUACUGGGCGUAAAGAGUAUGUAGGCGGUUCUGCAAGUCUGGUGUGAAAUCUCCCGGCUCAACUGGGAGGGUGCGCCGGAAACUGCAGUGCUCGAGUGUGGGAGAGGAAAGCGGAAUUCCUGCUGUAGCGGUGAAAUGCGUAGAUAUCAGGAGGAACACCGGCGGUGUAGACGGCUUUCUGGACCACUACUGACGCUGAGAUACGAAAGCGUGGGGAGCAAACAGGAUUAGAUACCCGAGUAGUCUC
This 438-nucleotide ribosomal RNA is filed under the name uncultured bacterium. RNAcentral's name for it is "bacterial SSU rRNA". It matches the Rfam family "Bacterial small subunit ribosomal RNA", at positions 343 to 797 of the family's 1533-position model. The record is from RNAcentral.